Molecule: ribosomal RNA, 232 nt
Filed under: uncultured bacterium
Lineage: Bacteria
Description: partial 16S ribosomal RNA
Rfam family: Bacterial small subunit ribosomal RNA
Source: RNAcentral
CGGACGGGCGAGUAAUGCUUGGGAAUCUAGCUUAUGGAGGGGGAUAACUACGGGAAACUGUAGCUAAUACCGCGUAAUAUCGAAAGAUUAAAGUGUGGGACCUUCGGGCCACAUGCCAUAGGAUGAGCCCAAGUGGGAUUAGGUAGUUGGUGAGGUAAAGGCUCACCAAGCCGACGAUCUCUAGCUGGUCUGAGAGGAUGACCAGCCACACUGGGACUGAGACACGGCCCAG